CUAGCUACAGGCUUAACACAUGCAAGUCGAGGGGCAGCAUGGUCUUAGCUUGCUAAGGCCGAUGGCGACCGGCGCACGGGUGAGUAACACGUAUCCAACCUGCCGUCUACUCUUGGACAGCCUUCUGAAAGGAAGAUUAAUACAAGAUGGCAUCAUGAGUCCGCAUGUUCACAUGAUUAAAGGUAUUCCGGUAGACGAUGGGGAUGCGUUCCAUUAGAUAGUAGGCGGGGUAACGGCCCACCUAGUCUUCGAUGGAUAGGGGUUCUGAGAGGAAGGUCCCCCACAUUGGAACUGAGACACGGUCCAAACUCCUACGGGAGGCAGCAGUGAGGAAUAUUGGUCAAUGGGCGAGAGCCUGAACCAGCCAAGUAGCGUGAAGGAUGACUGCCCUAUGGGUUGUAAACUUCUUUUAUAAAGGAAUAAAGUCGGGUAUGGAUACCCGUUUGCAUGUACUUUAUGAAUAAGGAUCGGCUAACUCCGUGCCAGCAGCCGCGGUAAUACGGAGGAUCCGAGCGUUAUCCGGAUUUAUUGGGUUUAAAGGGAGCGUAGAUGGAUGUUUAAGUCAGUUGUGAAAGUUUGCGGCUCAACCGUAAAAUUGCAGUUGAUACUGGAUAUCUUGAGUGCAGUUGAGGCAGGCGGAAUUCGUGGUGUAGCGGUGAAAUGCUUAGAUAUCACGAAGAACUCCGAUUGCGAAGGCAGCCUGCUAAGCUGCAACUGACAUUGAGGCUCGAAAGUGUGGGUAUCAAACAGGAUUAGAUACCCUGGUAGUCCACACGGUAAACGAUGAAUACUCGCUGUUUGCGAUAUACUGCAAGCGGCCAAGCGAAAGCGUUAAGUAUUCCACCUGGGGAGUACGCCGGCAACGGUGAAACUCAAAGGAAUUGACGGGGGCCCGCACAAGCGGAGGAACAUGUGGUUUAAUUCGAUGAUACGCGAGGAACCUUACCCGGGCUUAAAUUGCAGAUGAAUUACGGUGAAAGCCGUAAGCCGCAAGGCAUCUGUGAAGGUGCUGCAUGGUUGUCGUCAGCUCGUGCCGUGAGGUGUCGGCUUAAGUGCCAUAACGAGCGCAACCCUUGUUGUCAGUUACUAACAGGUUCCGCUGAGGACUCUGACAAGACUGCCAUCGUAAGAUGUGAGGAAGGUGGGGAUGACGUCAAAUCAGCACGGCCCUUACGUCCGGGGCUACACACGUGUUACAAUGGGGGGUACAGAGGGCCGCUACCACGCGAGUGGAUGCCAAUCCCCAAAACCUCUCUCAGUUCGGACUGGAGUCUGCAACCCGACUCCACGAAGCUGGAUUCGCUAGUAAUCGCGCAUCAGCCACGGCGCGGUGAAUACGUUCCCGGGCCUUGUACACACCGCCCGUCAAGCCAUGGGAGCCGGGGGUACCUGAAGUGCGUAACCGCGAGGAGCGCCCUAGGGUAAAACUGGUGACUGGGG
Molecule: ribosomal RNA, 1440 nt
Filed under: uncultured organism
Description: SSU rRNA
Rfam family: Bacterial small subunit ribosomal RNA
Source: RNAcentral